UGGGGAAUUUUAGACAAUGGGCGAAAGCCUGAUCCAGCAAUGCCGCGUGUGUGAAGAAGGCCUUCGGGUUGUAAAGCACUUUUGUCCGGAAAGAAAUCCUUGGCUCUAAUACAGUCGGGGGAUGACGGUACCGGAAGAAUAAGCACCGGCUAACUACGUGCCAGCAGCCGCGGUAAUACGUAGGGUGCAAGCGUUAAUCGGAAUUACUGGGCGUAAAGCGUGCGCAGGCGGUUUGCUAAGACCGAUGUGAAAUCCCCGGGCUCAACCUGGGAACUGCAUUGGUGACUGGCAGGCUAGAGUAUGGCAGAGGGGGGUAGAAUUCCACGUGUAGCAGUGAAAUGCGUAGAGAUGUGGAGGAAUACCGAUGGCGAAGGCAGCCCCCUGGGCCAAUACUGACGCUCAUGCACGAAAGCGUGGGGAGCAAACAGGAUUAGAUACCCUGGUAGUCCACGCCCUAAACGAUGUCAACUAGUUGUUGGGGAUUCAUUUCCUUAGUAACGUAGCUAACGCGUGAAGUUGACCGCCUGGGGAGUACGGUCGCAAGAUUAAAACUCAAAUGAAUUGACGGGGUCAUAGCUGUUUCCU
This 585-nucleotide ribosomal RNA is filed under the name uncultured bacterium. RNAcentral describes it as "partial 16S ribosomal RNA". It matches the Rfam family "Bacterial small subunit ribosomal RNA", at positions 355 to 1375 of the family's 1533-position model. The record is from RNAcentral.